Molecule: ribosomal RNA, 490 nt
Filed under: uncultured bacterium
Lineage: Bacteria
Description: partial 16S ribosomal RNA
Rfam family: Bacterial small subunit ribosomal RNA
Source: RNAcentral
AUUGAACGCUGGCGGCAGGCCUAACACAUGCAAGUCGAACGGUAACAGGAAGAAGCUUGCUUCUUUGCUGACGAGUGGCGGACGGGUGAGUAAUGUCUGGGCAACUGCCUGAUGGAGGGGGAUAACUACUGGAAACGGUAGCUAAUACCGCAUAACGUCGCAAGCCCAAAGAGGGGGACCUUCGGGCCUCUUGCCAUCGGAUGUGCCCAGGUGGGAUUAGCUAGUAGGUGGGGUAACGGCUCACCUAGGCGACGAGCUCUAGCUGGUCUGAGAGGAUGACCAGCCACACUGGAACUGAGACACGGUCCAGACUCCUACGGGAGGCAGCAGUGGGGAAUAUUGCACAAUGGGCGCAAGCCUGAUGCAGCCAUGCCGCGUGUAUGAAGAAGGCCUUCGGGUUGUAAAGUACUUUCAGCGGGGAGGAAGGGAGUAAAGUUAAUACCUUUGCUCAUUGACGUUACCCGCAGAAGAAGCACCGGCUAACUCCGUG